CAGGGGUUAGUUUAUUAAAAUUUCGGUUUUGGGGACCGAGGAUAGGAAAUCUUUUCCUACCCCUGA
RNAcentral lists this transfer RNA (66 nucleotides) under Calliptamus barbarus. RNAcentral describes it as "tRNA-Pro". Lineage: Eukaryota; Metazoa; Arthropoda; Insecta; Orthoptera; Acrididae. The record is from RNAcentral.